CAGUAGCGUAUAUUAAAGUUGUUGCAGUUAAAAAGCUCGUAGUUGGAUUUCUGGUACGCUGCGCCUGGCCCGCCCACGUUAGUGGUGUGAGUGUCGGUGCGCGGUUGCCAUCCUUCUAGAGAACGUGUCUACCUUUAAUUAGGCCGGGCUACGGGAUCUAGAUCAUUUACUUUGAAAAAUUAGAGUGUUUAAAGCAGGCUUUUGCUAUGAAUACAUUAGCAUGGAAUAAUAAUAUAGGACUUUGGUUCUAUUUUGUGGUUUCUAGGACUAAAGUAAUGAUUGAUAGGGAUAGUUGGGGGCAUUAGUAUUUAAUUGUCAGAGGUGGAAUUCUCGGAUUUGUUAAAGACUAACUUAUGCGAAAGCAUUUGCCAAGGAUGUUUUUCAUUAAUCAAGAACGAAAGUUGGGGGAUCGAAGACGAUUAGAUACCA
Molecule: ribosomal RNA, 429 nt
Filed under: uncultured eukaryote
Lineage: Eukaryota
Description: bacterial SSU rRNA
Rfam family: Eukaryotic small subunit ribosomal RNA
Source: RNAcentral